AAAUAAUCACCGCCGGGUGAGUGCGUCAAAUUGUAUCGUUAGGCCUUUGAAGAUGCAAAGUGACGCUUUUUUAUUGG
Molecule: non-coding RNA, 77 nt
Filed under: unclassified sequences
Source: RNAcentral